ACGGGGGGGGCAAGCGUUGUUCGGAAUUACUGGGCGUAAAGGGCUCGCAGGCGGCCGACUAAGUCAGACGUGAAGUCCCUUGGCUCAACCAAGGAAUGGCGUCUGAUACUGGACGGCUUGAAUCCGGGAGAGGGAUGUGGAAUUCCAGGUGUAGCGGUGAAAUGCGUAGAUAUCUGGAGGAACACCGGUGGCGAAGGCGGCAUCCUGGACCGGUAUUGACGCUGAGGAGCGAAAGCCAGGGGAGCAAACGGGA
This 253-nucleotide ribosomal RNA is filed under the name uncultured prokaryote. RNAcentral's name for it is "partial 16S ribosomal RNA". It matches the Rfam family "Bacterial small subunit ribosomal RNA", at positions 525 to 777 of the family's 1533-position model. The record is from RNAcentral.